UCCCUGGCAGUCCAGUGGCUAGGACUCAGCCCUUUCAAUACUGGGGCCAGGGUUCAAUCCCUCGUCAGGGAA
Non-coding RNA from Bos taurus (domestic cattle), 72 nucleotides. The record is from Rfam. Lineage: Eukaryota; Metazoa; Chordata; Mammalia; Artiodactyla; Bovidae.